GGUGAGGGUGUUAUAGAGGCUAAGUGUCCUUACAGGUGGGGGCAAGACACCUCUACUGGGUACCAACAGUGUCUUGAGGACAAAAGAGGACAUCUGGAAAGUCUGACAAGCUUAAAGAGAAGUCAUGCAUAUUUCACUCAGGUCCAAAUGCAGAUGUUUGUUACCAAACGGAUGUAUGCAGACUUCAUCACUUGGACUCCUCAGACCUGCCUGAUAUUCAGAGUACAAAGAGAUGAGGACUUCAUCAGUGGUGCCAUUAAUGUGAUGCAAACAUUUUGGUCACAACACAUACUACACAAACUUCGGGAGCUGAAAGAUGCACAGUCUCUUCACCAGGCGCAGAGGAAGUGGGCCAUCCAGAAUGUGGUACCGGCUCUUCAGGGCACCAAUGACUCUCUCUGCAGACCACAGAUCACAUAUUUGUGGUUAAAAUGCUGUUUAUCUACAUUGUUAUGUUCGAGUUUCACAGGAGUAGCACAGUUGACCGUUAUAUCAUAUCGUCAGUGCAUUGUGUCCUAUAAUUAGUGUUUAUUUUUCAUGUUAAAGUGA
This is a long non-coding RNA of Gymnodraco acuticeps, 549 nucleotides long. RefSeq lists it as uncharacterized. The transcript has 3 exons. The record is from RefSeq and is a predicted model, not a curated record. NCBI's taxonomy places the organism in Eukaryota, Metazoa, Chordata, Actinopteri, Perciformes, Bathydraconidae.